This is a long non-coding RNA of Balaenoptera musculus (blue whale), 662 nucleotides long. RefSeq lists it as uncharacterized. The record is from RefSeq and is a predicted model, not a curated record. The transcript has 4 exons. Lineage: Eukaryota; Metazoa; Chordata; Mammalia; Artiodactyla; Balaenopteridae.
GGGUCACUCACCCUCAUCCUGCUCAGCGGGCUCGGCUCGUCCGGCCGCGGGGAUAGGGAGGACCAGAGGACCACCAGCACCAGGAAGCUGCCCACCACCAGCAAACUGCUGUUUGGAGCAUGUAUCAUGUGCUAGCCAUUGUUUUAAAUGAUGGGAAACAGCAGUAAACUAGAGGAGCAGAAAUCCUUGUGGUCAUGGAGUCAGACAAUAAACAAGAUAUUGCAAUAUGUUCUAAUGGUCUGGUAAUCAAAACCAGAAUAAUGAUGAUGCCACAAUAGACCAAUGGAUUGAAAUAGAAGACCCCAAAGCAUUAGGUCGUCUCGGGAGAGGACACUCAGGCAGCUCUGGAGGGGCCCCUGUGACAAGGAACUGAGACCCACAGCCAGCAAGAACCCAGGCCUGCCAACGAACAGGUAAGUGAGCUUGGAAGGGGAUCUUCCCACAGCUGAACCUUCCAUGACGGCAGUUCAAGUGGCAGCUGAGCCAGAACCCAAGGGUGCCAUCCAGAGUUCUAAAUCUCAGGAACCGUGCGAGACAACGAAUGUUUGUUGCUUUGUGCUACUCUGCCAAGUUUUGGGGUAAUUUGUUACACAUUAGAUAAUUCAACCACAUAGCAUAUAAAAUAAAAUCAAUAAAACUAAUAUGGGUCAAUGAUUAGUAAA